RNAcentral lists this ribosomal RNA (1168 nucleotides) under Psittacara rubritorquis (red-throated parakeet). RNAcentral's name for it is "partial 16S ribosomal RNA". It matches the Rfam family "Bacterial large subunit ribosomal RNA", at positions 1214 to 2925 of the family's 2925-position model. Lineage: Eukaryota; Metazoa; Chordata; Aves; Psittaciformes; Psittacidae. The record is from RNAcentral.
UUUAAAAAAGACACAACCUCAACCAGCGGAUAACUUCAACGUACCUAACCCCGUGGGCCUUAAAGCAGCCACCCCCGAAGAUUGCGUCAAAGCUCCAUCGACUAAAAACACCAAAGACUAACACGACUCCCUGCACCGAUAGUAGGCUAACCUAUAACAAUAGAUGAAUCAAUACUAGAACGAGUAACCAGGACACCACGUCCCCCCAAGCGCCAGCCUAAACGCCAUUAACAGCACAAACCUCAAUAACAACCACACCACACCCCCCACCAUUGAACAUACCCUGUCAAUCCAACUCAGGGGCGCACAUUGGAGUGAUCAAAGUCUACAAAAGGAACUCGGCAAACCCAAGACCCGACUGUUUACCAAAAACAUAGCCUUCAGCCAAACAAGUAUUGAAGGUGAUGCCUGCCCAGUGACACCAUGUUUAACGGCCGCGGUAUCCUAACCGUGCAAAGGUAGCGCAAUCAAUUGUCCCAUAAAUCGAGACCUGUAUGAAUGGCUAGACGAGGUCUUAACUGUCUCCUGUAGACAAUCGGUGAAACUGAUCUCUCUGUACAAAAGCAGAGAUAAGCACAUAAGACGAGAAGACCCUGUGGAACUUCAAAAUCAACAGCCACCUCACCCUGCUUACAAACCCACACGGGCCCACCACCCAAGACACUGGCUGACAUUUUUAGGUUGGGGCGACCUUGGAGAAAAACAAACCCUCCAAAGACAAGGCCAAACUCCUUAACUAAGAGCAACCCCUCAACGUACUAACAGUACCCAGACCCAGUAAAUCUGACCAAUGAACCAAGCUACCCCAGGGAUAACAGCGCAAUCUCCUCCAAGAGCCCCUAUCGACGAGGAGGUUUACGACCUCGAUGUUGGAUCAGGACAUCCUAGUGGUGCAGCCGCUACUAAGGGUUCGUUUGUUCAACGAUUAACAGUCCUACGUGAUCUGAGUUCAGACCGGAGCAAUCCAGGUCGGUUUCUAUCUAUGACCAACCUUUCCCAGUACGAAAGGACCGGAAAGGUGGGGCCAAUACUCCAAGCAUGCCCCCUCCCCCCAAGUGAUGUCCCCCACUAAAUCACCAAAGGACUUCCCUUCCCCCCGCGAAAAGGGUUGCUAGUGUAGCAGAGCCAGGCAAAUGCAAAAGACUUAAGCCCUUUACCUCAGAGGUCA